RNAcentral lists this ribosomal RNA (253 nucleotides) under uncultured bacterium. RNAcentral describes it as "partial 16S ribosomal RNA". It matches the Rfam family "Bacterial small subunit ribosomal RNA", at positions 524 to 776 of the family's 1533-position model. The record is from RNAcentral.
UACGUAGGGUGCAAGCGUUGUCCGGAAUUACUGGGCGUAAAGGGCGCGUAGGCGGCCUUCUAAGUCAGACGUGAAAUCCCCGGGCUCAACCUGGGAACUGCAUUUGUGACUGCAUCGCUGGAGUGCGGCAGAGGGGGAUGGAAUUCCGCGUGUAGCAGUGAAAUGCGUAGAUAUGCGGAGGAACACCGAUGGCGGAGGCAAUCCCCUGGGCCUGCACUGACGCUCAUGCACGAAAGCGUGGGGAGCAAACAGG